GAGAAAAACAAUUCAAUCAACUCAUUUAUAUAACUAGAAAUCAAAUCAGAAAAAUAAGGGUUUCAUCUGGUUACACUCAUCCCUAACAAAUAGGGUUUAGUUACUCAUGACAGAGAUACAAAAGAUAAGGAUUAAAGAAGAAUUACAAGAAUGAUUCAUGGAUGAUUCUUGAUAAAACUGCUUCAAUGGCGUUAGAAACGGCCGUCUUUGAGUUUUUAUGCUAGGGCACAAGUCUCCCAAGUUCCCAAGAGUCAAAAAGAUCCCUAAAACAGUAAAAAUCUGCGUCUUUAUGGUUGCUGGUGCGCGUCGCGCGCCUCAGGCGCGGAAAAACGCGCUCCAGGACGCGCUCCAGGCGCAUUUCAUCUGCUGUCUGAUGUAUUUUGCAUUUUUCUCAUCUUGUGCCUCUGAAUUUGGUCCCGGUGUCUUAAUGAAAGUUGUAGAUAUGGAUCUUAGCUUUCAUUAGCACUUGGAGCGACACUAAUUGGACAUCUAGAACUCCAGAUAUGGCUGAAAUACUCCACAUAUGUCAUGUUGAUUUUUCACCAAAAUUCAGCACUGCACUAAAACAAAACGCAAUGUAAAAUUACGACAAAUUCCUACUUAAUCAACGAAAUAAAAACAAUAAACAUUUUAUUAACUCAAAGAACAAAAAUCAACAAAAUGUAUCAAAUAAAUCCUUAAUUUAACUGAUGAUUGAGGAUAAAUAAGACUAAAACAGUGGGAAAAUAUGCAUAUGAUGAAGAGUCAUCAACACCUCAGUUGGGACUUUGGUAAGGGGUUGUCCAAAGCGAUAAACAACAGCUACGAGAUAUUUUUCAUUGGAUUGUCUAUUCCGGAUAGGAAUUUUUUAGGGGACAUCGUUAGAUUAUGGAGUGAGGGUUUAAGAAGGCGUUCUUCAUAAAAGUCCUUGACGGGUUUUUAGGUCCCUAUCUUGCAAGAAUGAAGUGUGAUCUUUAUCUUGAAGAUAGGCUUCUUUUUUUCUUUCUAGAAUUUGGAGGGAGUUUCAAGAUUAUGUGUACAAGAGUGUUUAAGAACGAAGGAAUUUUGUGUACAAUUUUUUGUAACUUCCUUCGAAGGAAUCUAUAAGCAUUUAUAAUCAUAAUAAAGGAAAAAAAUCUAAUUCUUUUGAAUGAGAACAAGAUGUACUCUACGAGUGAGAACGAAGUAGAGGUACCUAUAUAAAUCGUCGCUUUAGUCUCUCUAUCUCUAACUCUUUAAUUUCUUCAUUUUUACUUUGUUCUUGAUUUUUUCCUUUGUUUUGGAUUUUGGUGGUAUAUUAUGUUUUAGUGCAAAUUGAUAGAAAACUUGUUAAAAUAUUUUUUUGUUUUGAAAGUAUUGGUUUCAAAUGUUGAAUAAAUUAUGUUUUGAACAUUGCAAUUCAAUAUCUUAGACUUGAUUUAAUUUGAAGAAAAUAUAAUAUAUUAGUGUUCCUAUUGAUUAAGAUUUAUGGAGUCAUUUAUGAUCUUUGUCAUCCUUGAUUGAAGGGCUAAAAUCAUUUUUCUAAACUACUUCAAUCAAUUUUUUUGUUUUCUUGUAUAAGUUUCUAUUGAAUUUUGUGUUUACUUCGUAUUCUUUAUGCAUAUUCAAUUAAUCCAUCGCAUUAAAUCAAUUUGAAUAUUCUUUGUGCAUAUUCUUGUAUAGCAUAAUCAAUUCAAUUUGAAUAUUCUUUGUGCAUAUUCAAUUAGUCCAUCGCAUUAAAAGAUUUUUAAUUUCUAUUGUACAACUUUAAAGUUUUCAACACUAUUUUUUGAAAAUCCCUUCUAGAUUCCAUUGUAGGUUAUUUAAUAAGUCCCAAAUUCUAGAGAACUUUAGAAGUUCAGGAGUAGUAUAAUAUUAUUCAAUGUUAGUAGUUGUGAGAAAUCUGUAGAAUAGUCUAAUAAAUUGUAUAGAACUCUCCCUUAGAGUCUAUAAAUAGGGGAGAAGUUGUCAUAUGGACAUCAAGUCAAACAAUAAAAUGUAUUCUUCUCUCAAAUAUUAUAUCUUCUUCAAAGUUCACCCUAACAUUUUCCUUACCAAGACACAUGUAAAGAUAAUUAAGUUAAUCAUACCAUUUUCCUUUACCAACGCACAUGCAAUCAGUAUUACAUAAUGCUAUGAUAGAGGAAUAAAGAAUAAAGAAAAAACAUGGUCCUUUAUCAUUAUAAUUAGGGAGGUGUACAAAAUAUUCUAUUACAAGUCCAAACCACAAAUACAUCCAUAACUGAUUUAAAAAAAAUAGGAUAUUUGCAAUAGUUUUUUAUAAGAUAUUUGUAGACAAUGGUGGUUGCUUUUUAUUUUUAUUUAUUUUUUAUAUCUGGUUUUUGAAAAUGGAUGUCCGUCAAUAUCCACAACCAUUUUGUGAAACAAUCCUUCUUAAUCUCUUACUUUUAAACUGAGAGAUUAUGGAACAUUUUGCAAAAUCAUAAAUUUCUCUACUCUAGAGAUUCGUACCUCAAACCUUCUAAUUUUUUCGUUCUCAGAUUUUCGCAUACAGAUCUCAUCUCCUUUUCAAUCUUAGAUCUCCAGCCACAGCACAUAGUUCAUCGGCGGAGGAUACAGAACUAGCAAGAAUUUUUUUUCUCAAGAAGACGAAACCCAUAAAAAUUGAAAGGAGGAACCUGCUAGGUUUAUUUUGGUAUUUGUGUGUUUUUUCGGAAAAUCGAGUCAGCUCCUCAUUGCUUAUUGUAGCACUCAUAUGACCGAUCAGCAAAAUUCAUAGAAAGAAUGUGGGUACUUUCACAAUUUAGUGACAGUAAAUUUAAUAAUAA
RNAcentral lists this long non-coding RNA (2747 nucleotides) under Cicer arietinum (chickpea). Its description in RNAcentral is "long non-coding RNA (CARI_LNC001998)". Lineage: Eukaryota; Viridiplantae; Streptophyta; Magnoliopsida; Fabales; Fabaceae. The record is from RNAcentral.